RNAcentral lists this ribosomal RNA (465 nucleotides) under uncultured Klebsiella sp. Its description in RNAcentral is "bacterial SSU rRNA". It matches the Rfam family "Bacterial small subunit ribosomal RNA", at positions 338 to 795 of the family's 1533-position model. Lineage: Bacteria; Pseudomonadati; Pseudomonadota; Gammaproteobacteria; Enterobacterales; Enterobacteriaceae. The record is from RNAcentral.
CCUACGGGUGGCUGCAGUGGGGAAUAUUGCACAAUGGGCGCAAGCCUGAUGCAGCCAUGCCGCGUGUGUGAAGAAGGCCUUCGGGUUGUAAAGCACUUUCAGCGGGGAGGAAGGCGGUGAGGUUAAUAACCUCAUCGAUUGACGUUACCCGCAGAAGAGGCACCGGCUAACUCCGUGCCAGCAGCCGCGGUAAUACGGAGGGUGCAAGCGUUAAUCGGAAUUACUGGGCGCAAAGCGCACGCAGGCGGUCUGUCAAGUCGGAUGUGAAAUCCCCGGGCUCAACCUGGGAACUGCAUUCGAAACUGGCAGGCUAGAGUCUUGUAGAGGGGGGUAGAAUUCCAGGUGUAGCGGUGAAAUGCGUAGAGAUCUGGAGGAAUACCGGUGGCGAAGGCGGCCCCCUGGACAAAGACUGACGCUCAGGUGCGAAAGCGUGGGGAGCAAACAGGAUUAGAUACCCCAGUAGUC